This is an RNA transcript of Fundulus heteroclitus (mummichog), 754 nucleotides long. It is a transcript of the gene named germinal-center associated nuclear protein-like, with no coding region annotated. Lineage: Eukaryota; Metazoa; Chordata; Actinopteri; Cyprinodontiformes; Fundulidae. The record is from RefSeq and is a predicted model, not a curated record. The transcript has 4 exons.
UCCGCUCUGCUUCAGCUCAAACAGCUGCAGCAGAUCAACAGCUGGAACAGCCGCUGCCUCUGGUCGUCUUGGUGCCUUUGCACCACGGUGCUGCUGGAGGAAGCCCUGAUGCUGCAGCUCUGAUGGAGGAAGAGCUGAUCUCAGAGUACAUGCUGGUCUUCAUCCCAGACUCAACCAGUGAUCUGCAGGGAUCCAAGCAGCUGACCCAGGCCGUCCGCUGGCUGCUGGCCCGCUCUCCACCCCCCCUCCCUCUCUCACCUGUCAAACCCUGGUGCAGCUCAUGGAGGCCAGUCUGAGCCAGGAGUUCUGGCCCAGAGUUUUCUCCAACCUCCAGAACCGGGCGGCCGCACGGCUUCCCUGGCAGGAAGCAGCGCCUGUCGUCCGGCUCUAUAACGCCGUCUUGGCUCACGUUGCCCACAGAGUCUCCUCCCAGGACCUCUGCGGCCUGUCGUGGCCCCCCGCCGAGUUCAGUCAGCCGGAGACCCGAGCGUUGGUCCCUCAUCUGGGCUGGAACUCUGCGCAGCAUCUCUCCUGGCUGCGUGGCGUUAUCCUCAGUCUGCUGCUGCCAGAGUGGGAGGAGACACCUGCUGCAGACUGCUGGCCGGAUCUCUGCUCCUCCAUCUUUGGUUACGCUGCUAAGAUCCCAGCUUCACGUCACAGUCAGCCGCUCCUCAUGUCCCGGCUGGAGAACCUUCUGGAAAGGGUCCGACUUCAGGCUCAACACCCCCGACCCCCCCCGAUCCAGCCCAGCUGA